RNAcentral lists this ribosomal RNA (309 nucleotides) under uncultured Oxalobacteraceae bacterium. Its description in RNAcentral is "partial 16S ribosomal RNA". The record is from RNAcentral. Lineage: Bacteria; Pseudomonadati; Pseudomonadota; Betaproteobacteria; Burkholderiales; Oxalobacteraceae.
GGAGUCUGGACCGUGUCUCAGUUCCAGUGUGGCUGGUCGUCCUCUCAGACCAGCUACUGAUCGUCGCCUUGGUGAGCCUUUACCUCACCAACUAGCUAAUCAGAUAUCGGCCGCUCCAGGAGCACAAGGCCUUGCGGUCCCCUGCUUUCAUCCGUAGAUCGUAUGCGGUAUUAGCGUAACUUUCGCUACGUUAUCCCCCACUCUUGGGCACGUUCCGAUAUAUUACUCACCCGUUCGCUACUCGUCAGCGGAGCAAGCUCCCUGUUACCGUUCGACUUGCAUGUGUAAAGCAUGCCGCCAGCGUUCAAU